Long non-coding RNA from Trifolium pratense (red clover), 1501 nucleotides. RefSeq lists it as uncharacterized. Lineage: Eukaryota; Viridiplantae; Streptophyta; Magnoliopsida; Fabales; Fabaceae. The transcript is spliced from 4 exons. The record is from RefSeq and is a predicted model, not a curated record.
UCCCUCACUAAACCCUAAUAACGGGCUAGUGCCUCCGCUGGCAUUUGUGCCUCCGUUGGCACCUUUCACAAACAUGCCACAGAAAUUCUAGCAGAGCACUUUUUCUGACAAAACAGAAUUUAGUUGCUAUGUCCUGUUUUACAGUACAUGUUUUUGUUCUGAUUUUCGUUCCUGUACACCAUUUUUAGUCAAAUCUGACGCAAUUUUGUUCUUUCUUCUGCAUCAUUUUUGUUCCUCUCAGAUCUUAUUCAUCCUGCAACAUCCAGAGUAAUUUACACUCUGGACAGACCUUUCUCUUUGUUGAAGAGAUUGUUCUUUUGUAGUGAUGAAUGAAUGGUUGAAAUUUGAGAUCUUAUUUUUCCACAAUCACCUCUGACGGAGGCUAUACCAGCAGUCAAAUACUUCUUCCCUGAUUGAUGGUUCAAAUCGGUUCUACACUGUGAAUCGCCACAGCUGUUGUAGAUCAGAAAUCUGAACCGGUUUUCUAAAACACCAUUUAGCUCCUGUAUGUAGUGCUUGUGAUAUUGAAGAAAUUUCAUCAUCAUAAGCAGUCAUAAUGAAAGAUGGAAUAUUAGAGCUUUUCAUUUUCUCUAGGAGCUCAUAUAUUUCCAUGUCUGUCAACUGAGCCUCCACAAGCACAAGGUUGAUUUCAUUCUUUUUCUCCCCGAUAAUGGAUAAAGCCUCGGAAGCUAGUGUAGCAGUUGCAAUGAGUAAUAAAAGAAUAUCUGGAUGGAGAUUUGAAAUGGGAUGUUGAUUUGAUACUUGAAAGAUGAAGUAGACAAUCUCUAAAGAGCGGCCGCAAUCAAUUUAAUCCAAUGCUGCUAGGUGUUGGCUAGCAUAUUGUCUGAUCUAUUAGAUUGGCUAAAAGUUCUCUUAAGCCUGGUCUUUCAUUACUAGUUGUGAAUGCUACACUAGUUUCCGAGGCAUUAUCCAUUAUUGGGGAGAAGAAGAAUGAGAUUAACCUUGUGUGUGUGGAGGCUGAGUUGCCAUACAUGGAGAUAUACGAGCUCGUAGAGAAAAUGAAAAGCUCUAAUAUUACAUCUUUCGUUAUGACUGCUUAUCAUGAUGACAUUCCUUCCAUAUCACAAGCGCUACGUACAGGAGCUAAAUGAUGAUUUAGAUAACCGGUUCAAAAUUCUGAUCUACAGCAGUUGUGGCGAUUCACAGUGUGGAAGCGAUUUGAACCAACAUUCAAUGAAGAAGUAUAUGACAAUUGGUGGCCUAUGUUAGAGGUGAUUGAGGAAAGCAAGGGUCUCAAAUGCCAACCAUCCAUGUAUUCAAAAGAACAAUCUCUCCAAAGUGUGUCAAUGGUCUAGAAAGCCAACCAUCCUUGUGACCAAACAAAUUGUUGAUUUGCUGUUGUUAGUGUCCUAUUAGAAAGUGUGUUAUGGAGUUGUUCCAGUUAUGUAACUUUUGUUCCAGUUAUGAACUAUCAUAGUUAAUAUUAUGCUCAUAAUAACAAAGUUUUGAAAUAAAACAUCAAUGGUUGAAUUCUCUAUAA